Long non-coding RNA from Prionailurus viverrinus (fishing cat), 402 nucleotides. RefSeq lists it as uncharacterized. Lineage: Eukaryota; Metazoa; Chordata; Mammalia; Carnivora; Felidae. The transcript is spliced from 3 exons. The record is from RefSeq and is a predicted model, not a curated record.
AGAAAUAGAUGGGCAGUCCGUCGUAGCUUCUAACCCUAACCCUGUGGGCCCUCUGUGAAUGGUCACCGUUACUGCUCACAGUAAAAGAGAAUUUCUGAUUAGCAGGCUUUCAGCAAAGAACAUCUAUGGCUUGUAUGAUAACACAAAUUGGAAAGUUAUGAAAGAAAUACGUCUCCUGUCUCACUAACACGCGGGCGUGAAAAGCCAGUUUGAAAGGGGGAGUCACCACCCUGUUCAGGGUGAUUUGCAGAGGAGUGGACCUGGAGGAAAGCAUCUGGGCUUUACCCCGAUUGCCACCAGGUGACUUCUAAAUACCUAGCACUGAGGCAGAUGCCAUGAGAGUCCUGGAUCAAUCACUUGCAAGCUCUUGAAGAUAAACUACCGAACUUCUCUGAGCCUCAA